RNAcentral lists this transfer RNA (74 nucleotides) under Promethearchaeota archaeon. Its description in RNAcentral is "Candidatus Lokiarchaeota archaeon (permafrost metagenome) tRNA-Val". It matches the Rfam family "tRNA". From Rfam's summary of the family: Transfer RNA (tRNA) molecules are approximately 80 nucleotides in length. Their secondary structure includes four short double-helical elements and three loops (D, anti-codon, and T loops). Further hydrogen bonds mediate the characteristic L-shaped molecular structure. tRNAs have two regions of fundamental functional importance: the anti-codon, which is responsible for specific mRNA codon recognition, and the 3' end, to which the tRNAs corresponding amino acid is attached (by aminoacyl-tRNA synthetases). tRNAs cope with the degeneracy of the genetic code in two manners: having more than one tRNA (with a specific anti-codon) for a particular amino acid; and 'wobble' base-pairing, i.e. permitting non-standard base-pairing at the 3rd anti-codon position. Lineage: Archaea; Promethearchaeati; Promethearchaeota. The record is from RNAcentral.
GGGCCGGUGGUCUAGCUCGGUAUGACGCUUGCUUGACGUGCAAGAGGUCGGGAGUUCAAAUCUCCCCCGGCCCA